This 348-nucleotide ribosomal RNA is filed under the name Penicillium solitum. RNAcentral describes it as "SSU rRNA". It matches the Rfam family "Eukaryotic small subunit ribosomal RNA", at positions 20 to 370 of the family's 1831-position model. Lineage: Eukaryota; Fungi; Ascomycota; Eurotiomycetes; Eurotiales; Aspergillaceae. The record is from RNAcentral.
GUAGUCAUAUGCUUGUCUCAAAGAUUAAGCCAUGCAUGUCUAAGUAUAAGCAACUUGUACUGUGAAACUGCGAAUGGCUCAUUAAAUCAGUUAUCGUUUAUUUGAUAGUACCUUACUACAUGGAUACCUGUGGUAAUUCUAGAGCUAAUACAUGCUAAAAACCCCGACUUCAGGAAGGGGUGUAUUUAUUAGAUAAAAAACCAACGCCCUUCGGGGCUCCUUGGUGAAUCAUAAUAACUUAACGAAUCGCAUGGCCUUGUGCCGGCGAUGGUUCAUUCAAAUUUCUGCCCUAUCAACUUUCGAUGGUAGGAUAGUGGCCUACCAUGGUUUCAACGGGUAACGGGGAAU